AAACCAUGGUACGGGCAUUCUUUCUAAUAUCCUCUAAAUAGAUCCCAUGUCACAUAGAAGGAUUUUUGCCCACCUUGCACAAAAGUGGAGAUUUUUUUUCUCAUGGU
Molecule: non-coding RNA, 107 nt
Organism: Arabidopsis thaliana x Arabidopsis arenosa
Lineage: Eukaryota; Viridiplantae; Streptophyta; Magnoliopsida; Brassicales; Brassicaceae
Source: the annotation of a GenBank genome assembly